UACGAAGGGUGCAAGCGUUACUCGGAAUUACUGGGCGUAAAGCGUGCGUAGGCGGUUUGUUAAGUCUGUCGUGAAAGCCCCGGGCUCAACCUGGGAAUGGCAUUUGGGACUGCAAGGCUCGAGUGCGGCAGAGGAGACUGGAAUUCCUGGUGUAGCAGUGAAAUGCGUAGAUAUCAGGAGGAACACCGAUGGCGAAGGCAGGUCUCUGGGCUGACACUGACGCUCAUGCACGAAAGCGUGGGGAGCAAACAGG
RNAcentral lists this ribosomal RNA (253 nucleotides) under uncultured bacterium. RNAcentral's name for it is "partial 16S ribosomal RNA". It matches the Rfam family "Bacterial small subunit ribosomal RNA", at positions 524 to 776 of the family's 1533-position model. The record is from RNAcentral.